GUUUUUUUUCGUUGGAAGAACAAUUGAAAAGAAACGCGCUAGGCAAUGCUGAUGAGUCUCAACAAAGACGAAACAUUUUUUUUAUUAUUCCAAUGGGCAUCUACAUUGUCAGAUUUCUAACCUCAUCGUUAGUUGUGAGGUUAUCCGAUACGAUGUCUACGAUAAGAACAAAUGCCGAUAAAUUACAAGAUACUCGUCGAUCGUGCGAAGAAGGUGCUUCGAAAAUUCGUUUCAAGCAGAAAGAACUACAUUUUACAUAUAACAGGUAGACAACAAAUCAUCAUCGACAACUGAAUUAUAAAGAAUAGCGCCAAUCAGUUAUCGGAAACGAAAUCCUUGACGAUUUCACUCAAAGGAUGAUCAUUGAAACUUUACCAAGAAUCAUCAUCAUUUAAUCAGAAGAAAAUCAUUUGCGGAGUAUAUCACUUCAAUAAAUAGAUUUAAAUAUAAAAAAUAAAGGAAACCCUCACUAUGCAACGAGUCAUCUUGAAGACUACAAUCAAACAUCUGACGGAAACCAAUUAUUGCCUGUUGGACAUCAAGAAUAUUCAUCAACCAUUGAAAUAAAGAUAACAACUGUACGACACGAAUCAAGGAAACAAUUCAAACAACCUACAAGUAUGGAAGGAGACAUAAC
Long non-coding RNA from Cylas formicarius (sweet potato weevil), 637 nucleotides. RefSeq lists it as uncharacterized. NCBI's taxonomy places the organism in Eukaryota, Metazoa, Arthropoda, Insecta, Coleoptera, Brentidae. The record is from RefSeq and is a predicted model, not a curated record. The transcript has 4 exons.